CGUUGCCGUGGAAGUUUAGUGAACCUUAUCACUUAGAGGAAGGAGAAGUCGUAACAAGGUUUCCGUAGGUGAACCUGCGGAAGGAUCAU
Molecule: ribosomal RNA, 89 nt
Filed under: Phalacroma cf. rotundatum
Lineage: Eukaryota; Dinophyceae; Dinophysales; Dinophysaceae
Description: partial small subunit ribosomal RNA
Rfam family: Eukaryotic small subunit ribosomal RNA
Source: RNAcentral